CAAGCUGCCCUUUGUUAUUUAUUCAGGGAAUUAAACUAGGUUAAGAGAAUAACAUAAGCAAUAACAUUUUAUCGACUCUGUUUUUAGGAGCAAUUGAUCGGAACAUUCCCAUCGCGGAGACCUGUUCUGGAAAAAUCUGGUAAUUUUGUGACCUCUCAUUCAUUUUAAAUUUAACGCAUUACCUUAAUUGGUUUUUGGCAUCGAUUAUGAUGUGGUGAUAGAAUUAAAAAGGUAAAACAAAAAUACCUGCGUAGAUCUGCGUAGAUAUAAUUGUAGAUCUGCGUUGGUUUAAUUCCAAUUUUAAUAUAAAUCUGCGUAAAAAGGUGACCUCACAGCCAUUUUCUUAUAGAUCUGCGUAGAUUUUAUUCCUUUUGUUAUGAAUUUUUUUUCAGAAGUGAAUUUUUCUUCAUUUUAUUAUGGAUAUACAAUUAUAUAUUACAUUUUUUCGAAUAUGAAAAAUAACUUACAAUUCCGAUUCGAAAAGUUUGGAAUCUAAAAACCUUUUUUCCGAUUUCCGAAGCUUCACAAAUAUUAAAUUUUGGAAAUCAGGUCACCCUUAUAAAUUUUUGAAUUGGUUUUUGAAAUAUUUUAUGUUUUCCGAAAAACAAUUAGCCUAGAUAUUAUAAGCAAAUUUUAAAUUGAGUUUAAAAGGUAAUUGGACAAUUAAUCAAUUAUUAAGAAUUGGAAAUCUAGAUUAAAAGUAAAAUUCGUUAUAUAUAAUAUUAUUAAUUUUAUACAUUUAUUUUUGGGGAAAAAUAGAUUUUUCUAAGUUAUUUUUGGAUUUUAAAAAAAAUGAAUGUUCUGGAAUAUUUAUUUAUAAUCCAAGCACUUUAAAAAAAAAAAUAGAAAUUGGAAUUUUGGAGAACGUAUCGGAAAAUGGUGUUCCAAAUUUAGGAAUUUUCGGAUCGAACUGGAGGAAUUAAAAAAGUCAGACGCGUUUGUAAGUCCAGUUCUUUCAGUUAUGAAUAUCACAACAUGUUUGAAACUGCUUCACAUUGCUUGUCUUGUGCAGACGAUAUGGUUUCUUUUGGAAAGUAGUUGAAUAUUCAUGCUCAAAUAGCUUUAGAAGUGUAGAUUUAGCAUUUUCGAAUUGUUUAUAGUGUCAAAAUAAUACUCGUAGCAAUGCUAAAAAAUGUUUAUUAUUCAUGUAGUAUAUCUAUCUCUAUGUCUAUACUUUAAGUGUCAGGAAUUAAAACCAUUAUACUUUUGAUAAAUACAAUUUAAAUUUUUUUUUUUAUGAGAUUUGUGUAUAUCGAUAAAUGUUUUAUCUUGACUAUGUAAUCAUGAUUUUAAUUUUCAAUUAUUAUUCAUUUUACAGUUUUGUAGCCAUGACUGGUUCAAUAAGAGUUGAACUCGGGAAGAGCAGAAGAAAAUAUAUAACAAAUAGGUUUGGCAAACAAAUAAGAAGAAAGAAGUCUGGAAUAUAUCUUAUUUUAAGAUUGUUUUGGCUCAACCAACAAAAGAUAUCAAGGACAAGAAUUCUCAGUCAAUUAUAAAAAAACCUCCCGCACCUCAAGCAUUGGCAACGGGCCCCAUUGGGAACUCGCAAGGACCCGCCCGCAAAUGUUGCGCAUAAAUCAGUUCUCACCCUGAGAAAUAAAUCCAUCACAUUUAAAUGUGGGAUCGCUGCUAUGGCCAUCUCCAUUCUAAUCCCUAGAUUCACAUCAUCCGGUAAAAGUUGCAAACAAAAGAGUAUAAAACAAAAAUUAGAAUGAAAUCUUGAAGAUGGACAGUGAAUAAACCAACAAUAUGGACAUAACAAGAGCAUUCAGAUCGGCUGAUAAAAGUUCACACGAAAAAAUAUAAAGUAAAAGAAAAUCACAAAAAAUAAAAUCCAAAGGAAAUCUUGGAGAUUGAUAGUGAAAAAGUUCAUACCAACAACAUGGGGAUAUCACAAGAGCAUCCACAUCAUCCGGUAAAAGUUGAAAACAAAAAUUUUGCAACCAUUUUUAUUUUAAGAUAAAUAAAUUUUGUAUGAAAAUUUGUGAAUUGAAUUUUCUCAUAGUUUUAUUAUGCAUGACAAAUGCUAUAAACUCCUUGUGUAAUUUGUGUUUCGGCCUAAUGAUCUUAAAAAGAUG
RNAcentral lists this long non-coding RNA (2078 nucleotides) under Erythranthe guttata (spotted monkey flower). RNAcentral's name for it is "long non-coding RNA (EGUT_LNC001779)". Lineage: Eukaryota; Viridiplantae; Streptophyta; Magnoliopsida; Lamiales; Phrymaceae. The record is from RNAcentral.